CCCAAGUAUUUGUAUGUAUUCAUUCCUCUAGUUGACAGGUAUUUAUUGAGCACCUACUAGAUGCCAAGUACAGUGUUGUGCUCUGAGAUACAAGCGUGAAUAGGUGGCCAGCUCCCCAUCCCAGCCUGACGCAGGAACUUUCAGAAGGCUGCGGGAGCUCUCAGCACUGCACCCCUUCCAGCCUGUACUGUCAGCCAUCCUGGAGAAGGGACACCUAAGCUGAAACCUCAAGGGUGGGUCCAACCUGUUUCUACCAGCUUUGAAUAACAGCAACAAUGACGAUGAUGGUGGUCCCUGAAUUUACCACGUGCCAGCUACUGCUUCCAGCCCCUCUCUAGUGGGUCCCUGCCCAUUCCUGGGCAUCAGGAACUGGAGGACAAGCCAGAAUUCUCAGCAGCUUCUCAAGUUGUGCAUCAUCUGUCCCUGCUCUUACUUCUCCCUGACCUCACCUUCCAGCAAUUUCUGCUGACUCACAGUGUGGUUUAUUUCAACCACACUGGCAUUCUGACGGAUCUUUCCAGGGCACCAGGCAUACUUCUGCUGCGGGGACUUUGCCUGGGCUGUUCUGGUCACUUGAAAUACACUUUUCCUCACCUUCCUCAGGCCACUGUCCAAACAUCUUCUUGGCAUUCUACUUGCCGUCAUCAUCCUUCUCCCUGCCGAGUCCCAUCUAAAAUCACUGCUUUAUUUUUCUCCUUCCCACUGAGCACCAUCUCCCAUUUCCCAUAUUUUAUAUCUUCAUCUUGUCUGUUUGUCUGUCUCUUCUUUGUCUGUCUCUCCCUAUGAUAUGGUUUGGCUGUGUUCCCACCCAAAUCUCAUCUUAAACUGUAGCUCCCACAAUUCCUAUGUGUUGAGGGAGGGACCUGGUCAGAGGUAAUUGAAUCAUGGGGGCGAGUCUUUCCCAUGCUGUUCUUGUGGUAGUGAUUAAGUCUCGUGAGAUCUGAUGGUGUUACAAAGGGGAGUUCGCCUGCACAGGCUCUCUUGCCCUCCACCAUGUAAGAAGUCCGUUUGCUUUUCCUUCAUCUUCGCUAUGAGUGUGCACCCUCCCCAGUCAUGUGGAACUGAUAAAUUACGUACGAGUCAGCAAUCAAAAGGAGCAGACCAUCUACCGACGGACAACACGGAUGAAUCUCAGAAGCAUUCUGCUGCAAGAAGGAAACCCGCCCCCACAGGCUGCAAGCGAUGUGUCUUUUAUAUGACAUCCUGUUGAAUAGAAAAGGCAGGACUGCAGGGGAGAGAUCAGACCCAUGAUGGACAAUGGGCAGGGUGGGAGGAGGGCCUCACUAUCCAGGGGCCACUUGAAGGUAUUUUUGGAGGUGAUGGAAUUGUUCUGUGUCUUGAUUCUGGUGAUGGUUGCGUGACUCUGUGUAUUUAUCAAAGCUCACAGAACUGUGUUCCAAAGCAUGAAUGUUACUGUGUGUGAAUUAAACAUAAAUUAAAAAACAAACAGCAGCUGGGCACGGUGGCUCACGCCUGUCAUCCCAGCUACUCAGGAGGCUGAGGCAGGAGAAUUGCCUGAACCCAGGAGGCGGAGGUUGCGGUGAGCCGAGAUCACACCAUUGCACUCCAGCCUGGGUAACAAGAGUGAAACUCCGUCUCAAAAAAAAAGAAGUGGUCUCAUGGUGCCUGCAAUUGAAGGUGGAACCCACAGGUUUUUCAGGGUGGUUGAAGGUGAGUCAUGGGUGAAUGAGAGUUCGAGAGGCUAACUUCAGUAUUUGGGGCUCAACUUCUGGAGGAAUGGGCGCUGUAUGUACAAAGAUGGGGAAAGUGGCUGGAGAAACAGAUUCGAGGAGAAAACCACGAGUUAUUUUAUCAUCAUCAAUUUAGCGAUGAAGUCACUCAGGUCCAAAGAGAUUGACUGACUCCCUUGCGCAAACUCACCCAGCCAGUGUGGGAUGGAGAUGAAGUUGGAAACAGAUUUGUCUGACCCCUGAGCUCUGUCCCCUCUGCAGGCUCCUACUCUAGACUGAGAAAUGACUGGGUUCAGUGAUACUCAAAAUGGGGUCCCCUGAGCUUUAGAAAUGCAGAUUCUUUGGUUCCAGCCAACGGGGCAUUUGCCACGUGCCUGUGUUAUUCACAGGGGCUUCGUGUCAUCAAACGUGCUUUUGGCUGCAAGUAAUCUACGUCUAAAAGAGGUUCAUCUGCAAGUUUCCCAGAAAGUGUAUCAUAUCAGAAGAAGUCCUUAAUUUGGGCUGGGCAUGGUGGCUCACACCUGUAAUCCCAGCGCUUCGGGAGGCUGAGGCAGGAGCUUGCUUGGUGUGUUUAAGGAACAGCAAGGAGACCACGGCGGCUG
This is a long non-coding RNA of Callithrix jacchus (white-tufted-ear marmoset), 2293 nucleotides long. The record is from Ensembl. Lineage: Eukaryota; Metazoa; Chordata; Mammalia; Primates; Cebidae.